GCCGCCUUAGCUCAGUUGGUAGAGCAGCGCUUUUGUAAAGCGCAGGUCAGGGGUUCGAGUCCCCUCGGCGGCUC
This 74-nucleotide transfer RNA is filed under the name Phycisphaerae bacterium. RNAcentral describes it as "tRNA-Thr". It matches the Rfam family "tRNA". Rfam says of the family: Transfer RNA (tRNA) molecules are approximately 80 nucleotides in length. Lineage: Bacteria; Pseudomonadati; Planctomycetota; Phycisphaerae. The record is from RNAcentral.